RNAcentral lists this ribosomal RNA (303 nucleotides) under uncultured bacterium. Its description in RNAcentral is "partial 16S ribosomal RNA". It matches the Rfam family "Bacterial small subunit ribosomal RNA", at positions 507 to 807 of the family's 1533-position model. The record is from RNAcentral.
AGCAGUCGCCACGGUAAUACGAAGGGUGCAAGCGUUAAUCGGAAUUACUGGGCGUAAAGCGUGCGUAGGCGGUUCGUUAAGUCUGUUGUGAAAGCCCCGGGCUCAACCUGGGAAUGGCAAUGGAUACUGGCGAGCUAGAGUGUGUCAGAGGAUGGUGGAAUUCCCGGUGUAGCGGUGAAAUGCGUAGAGAUCGGGAGGAACAUCAGUGGCGAAGGCGGCCAUCUGGGACAACACUGACGCUGAGGCACGAAAGCGUGGGGAGCAAACAGGAUUAGAUACCCGCGUAGUCCCUGUCUCUUAUAC